Molecule: ribosomal RNA, 783 nt
Filed under: Salmonella enterica subsp. arizonae serovar 50:r:z
Lineage: Bacteria; Pseudomonadati; Pseudomonadota; Gammaproteobacteria; Enterobacterales; Enterobacteriaceae
Description: bacterial LSU rRNA
Rfam family: Bacterial large subunit ribosomal RNA
Source: RNAcentral
GUUGUGAGGUUAAGCGACCAAGCGUACACGGUGGAUGCCCUGGCAGUCAGAGGCGAUGAAGGACGUGCUAAUCUGCGAAAAGCGCCGGUAAGGUGAUAUGAACCGUUAUAACCGGCGAUGUCCGAAUGGGGAAACCCAGUGUGAUUCGUCACACUAUCAUUAACUGAAUCCAUAGGUUAAUGAGGCGAACCGGGGGAACUGAAACAUCUAAGUACCCCGAGGAAAAGAAAUCAACCGAGAUUCCCCCAGUAGCGGCGAGCGAACGGGGAGGAGCCCAGAGUCUGAAUCAGCAUGUGUGUUAGUGGAAGCGUCUGGAAAGGCGCGCGAUACAGGGUGAGAGCCCCGUACACAAAAGCGCAUAUGCUGUGAGCUCGAUGAGUAGGGCGGGACACGUGGUAUCCUGUCUGAAUAUGGGGGGACCAUCCUCCAAGGCUAAAUACUCCUGACUGACCGAUAGUGAACCAGUACCGUGAGGGAAAGGCGAAAAGAACCCCGGCGAGGGGAGUGAAACAGAACCUGAAACCGUGUACGUACAAGCAGUGGGAGCCUCUCUUUAUGGGGGGUGACUGCGUACCUUUUGUAUAAUGGGUCAGCGACUUAUAUUCUGUAGCAAGGUUAACCGCAUAGGGGAGCCGAAGGGAAACCGAGUCUUAAUUGGGCGUUAAGUUGCAGGGUAUAGACCCGAAACCCGGUGAUCUAGCCAUGGGCAGGUUGAAGGUUGGGUAACACUAACUGGAGGACCGAACCGACUAAUGUUGAAAAAUUAGCGGAUGACCUGUGGCU